RNAcentral lists this ribosomal RNA (211 nucleotides) under uncultured bacterium. RNAcentral describes it as "partial 16S ribosomal RNA". It matches the Rfam family "Bacterial small subunit ribosomal RNA", at positions 524 to 734 of the family's 1533-position model. The record is from RNAcentral.
UACGGAAGGUCCGGGCGUUAUCCGGAUUUAUUGGGUUUAAAGGGAGCGUAGGCCGAAGAUUAAGCGUGCUGUGAAAUGUUGCGGCUCAACCGUGGAACUGCAGCGGGAACUGGUUUUCUUGAGUGCGCGGGAGGCAGGCAGAAUUCGUGGUGUAGCGGUGAAAUGCUUAGAGAUCACGAGGAACCCCGAUGGCGAAGGCAGCCUCCCGUAG